UCGUGACAGAAAUGGUGGAGGCGCCGGGUAGGUUCUAUUUCUGGAGAGAGAGAGAGGUAGAUUUUUAUGUUUAUUAUUAAGUUAGUUUCAGCUUCUGAUAGCAGGUUAUUAAGAGUUUACUUGAGGAGAGGAUUACGGAAUUUUAGUCUAUAGUGGAGGAAGUCUUUGAGAUUUUUUUUUUGACGUAACAGAUGUUUAUUUGAGUAUACUUGUAAGGAUAAAGUUUAUAGUGAUAAGUUGUUUUAAGUCGUUGAGUUUAUCAGGGAUUUUUACGUGAGGAGAAUACGUUAUAAUUUAAAUGAUUAAUAGAGAUAAUGCAAGUGGUUUAAUUUAAUUGAAAUUAAUUUUAAGAUUGUAGGUUAAGAGAGUUAAAAUUUAAAAUAAAGUUUUUUUCGUAAAUAGGAAUUAUUUUCAAGAGAAGUUUGUUUUGUUUUCGUGCGCGUAGGAGACGAGACGUACGAAUUAAAUCAGUCGAGGGAAGGAUAAACGUUAGAAAGGAAUUAAAGAGAAAACGAGAGUUUAUGUAAAAGAGAGUUAUAGAAUUUAUAGUGAUGUUUUGUUUUAAUUAGAAAAAUGUUGAGAGUUGUUUCAGAACGACACGUCAGUGGACGUGGCAGAGUGAACACGUGACGGGGAGGUGCUGAGACCUAGCGGAGAACGGAGGAACCGCAAGCGAGGGUUGGCGCACCUGAUGGAAUUCGGUGACGUCACGGGCUCAUACGGAGACGUGGACAGGCCGUGACCUUGUUUUGAUCAGCUGUACGGUAACUUAACGAUAAGAAAAUAGACUAUUGGUUAAAUAAAUUUAAAUUUAAGUGUGUUUUAGGAGAAGAGGAACUUUCAGUAUAUUCCUUAAGAUGAGCUGAGCAGCAGUCCAGUUUACAAGAUGACAAGAGUUCGAGAGACAAGAUACAAGAUCACUGAAACAAGAGCCAAGACUGAAGAUUCAAGAGAAGAGAAAGCUGGCAGCCAUGGACUUACAAGUGGAGAUUAAUAAGGUCAUGUAAAGUUUUAUUUUUUUUUAUGGAAGACAGUAACUGGAGUUUUUUUUUGUUAUAAACAUUAUUUACAGAACUUUUUAGGUUAUAGUAAUGUAAUGGAACUAGUGAGUUGUGGUAGCUGUCAAAAAGAACUAAUACCUUAAGUUUAAUUUUUAAAGUUAAUUUUCUUAAUUUACAGAGGGAUUAGUAGUUUUUUUUAAAACCUUAUUUAGGUUGGAAUUUAAAUACAAUAGCUUAUUAUAAAUGUGUACGAACAGUUCAAGUUCACAGUACUGAUAGGUAGGUCAGAUGAUCUUAUUGAUUUUGAUGAUUUGUUGUUUUGAGUUGAUUUUUAAGUGUUGUGAAUUAGACAAUGAAAUAGUUCUGAAAACUUAAAUUAUUUCAAGCUAAGAAAUAGUAAAGUUAAUUGUAACUCAAAGGACACCAGAAUUUAAUUUUUUUUUGAAUUAGUAAUGUUUGAAAAUUUUAUACUUUACAAGAAAGGUUAUAAACAAACAGAUCGGAUGGAACAAGGAUGCAGUAAAUCACAAUUUCAUUUAGAAUUAUUGAUUAGCUUUUGAGGUUAUGAAGUAAAAGUAAUUAUAGUUUAAAAGUUUGAAUAAAAAAAAAUGUUUUUUUUUAUUUGUUUCAAAUAGAAAGUUUAAAAGUUAAUUAGUCAUGAUCUAGGUGGGUGAUGGGGUGGGAAUUGGCCACUCUUUUUCCCUAUAACCUCCCUAACAUGGCCUUCUAUUACAACUAACAGAAAUAAAGAAGAAGAAAAAUGAAGAAUUAUUAGUUAGAAUGUUUCUUUCAUGAAGAUACCUGAUGAACUUUUACUGUUUGGAAGAAUAGAAGCAAGGUUAGUCAGAUAUUUUUACUCAGAAGAAGAAGAAGAUAAAGCAGUUUUAUGACUCGACAAGCCAGAGAUUGGUGUUUCCCCUCUGCGCUCCUAUUGACUACGUUGUUUACUCUCAUGGGAUAGCUGGUUCGGCACCAUGGAGAGAGAUUGGUGGGCAUUGUGGUUGCCCCCAGAAGAAAAGAAGAGUAGAAGAGGUUAUGGGUGGGUCAUGUGAACUGACCUUCAACCCAGUUACUUCGUGGGGACUAUUUGCUGUAUAGAGAAGAUCAAGACUCAAGAGGUAGGGAAAAUCAUUGGAGGUCAUGUUUCCCUUCCUUAAGUUUUUCCUAUCAAAUUAUUUGCCUGAUUAGAUUAUGCUAAGGGUGGGAUAAUUUAUGUUAGCAGUUGAAUUAAUUAAUUUUAUUUUUUUGUGUGUUUGCAUCCUUGCCCAUCGAUUGCAGUUUAGUAGUUAGUUUUGUAUUUGUCAGGCGUGAUGGUAAUGCCUGUUGAUGAUGUUUCAGAAUUGUAAUCUGUUCGUGAUGAGGAUGGCACAACUCCGAAGCAGAUGUGGGGAGAAGUUGUGAGCUGCCCUGGAAGCCAGUCCAGUAGCUGUUGGAGUUGAGUGGUGUUUGCUGAUGGCCAGCCCAGGGAGCUACUCUUCUCGACAACACUGACUUCGAGGAGUUGCACCAACCUUCACGAGAUAAGAGUUUAAUUAAUUGAAACACUGUAAGGACACUUAAUUUUUUUUGAAGAACGAAAGAAGUAUGGUAAUAAACGGAAACCGAAAAAAAAA
This is a long non-coding RNA of Bacillus rossius redtenbacheri, 2614 nucleotides long. RefSeq lists it as uncharacterized. The transcript has 2 exons. The record is from RefSeq and is a predicted model, not a curated record. Lineage: Eukaryota; Metazoa; Arthropoda; Insecta; Phasmatodea; Bacillidae.